UUCAAACUUGAUUAGAUUUAUGUUCUGUUCGUAAUACUUAAAAAUUAAGUUCGUACUUAUCUCUCAAAUAUUACCAAUGCUUUUUUCCCAGUGUAGUCACUGAUUUGGACUGGGCGAAACGUUAAAGUGUGACCGAGAACUUUGUGACAAUUUAUGGGCGCGAAAACUUUUGGCAUUUCCCUAAGAAACGACAAUGCAGCUGCCAAUUGCCAAAAGCCGCGCCACAACUAGUAAGUGAGUAUAAAAAUGUCAAUAACGAAAUAUAUUAAUGUGAGCGGCUUUUCCACCCAAAGAAGUAAAGUAUCCCGAACCGCGCACUCGAAAAAAUGGGCAGUAUUGGUAAAAGUUGCUGGCGCAAAAGAAAAUAUGAAAGAAAAUUUCAUUAAGCUGGCAGCAGCCAACUUGCUAAAAAGUUAAUCUAGCAAACUUUUUGGACAGCCAAAUUUUUCAGCUGCCAACAUGUGUGCGUGUGUGUGUGGUGUGUGCUCCAAAGAUUUCCAUUCACAGGUAACACUGAUAUAUGGCUGAUUUGUCUCCUAUCUAAUUUGAUUGAAUAUAUUUGAAUAUCCGCAAGAUGAUCUGCUCGAAUGGACGCCAACUUUAUAUGUCUUAGAAAAGAAUUAUGAAGAUAUUUCGCAAAAUUUACUGGCUGGCAAGGAUGUGCUCCAUCAAUUUGAUACUCUCUCAAUAGACCAGCUAGCUCAUGUGCUGCUGACACAUUCAAUUGAUUAAGCCAAGCCACAACGCCGCCAAAGAAACUUUUCGCCCAGAUCCUGGCUGAAUCCUGGCAAAAAGGAGGUGAGGCGGUGCUCAUUGCAAGGCAAAGUUAAUUUUGAAUCGUUUAUCAAACAGCGUGGAGCUGCAAACUUGAAGUGCAUGUGCUGGCAGGCUGCCAUAUUCGAGUACCUGACUCUCGAAUUUGACUAGAAAAAACUAUAACCUUGUGUGGAAAAUACUGUGCAUAUAUGUAGAUGUGUGGGGGGGUAACUGGCGAGCUUCAGCUAUUUGUCAAAUUUGACUCGACUUUGGCUGCUCUGGGCCUGGUGCAAAUUGAUGAAAUGAGUUGUGAAAAUUCACAGAGAACCUACUUAUAUGCCAUAUGCACAUGCACAAGUUAAUGGAAUCAAUGCGGCAGGUAUGAAAGUAAACGGCAUGGAAAAUAAACCAAUGUUAUGCAAACAAAUAGUUGGGAGGAAAAGAAAAACUUCGUAAAAGCGGAAAAUAUCUGCAUUUCCGUUUACGGCCAAAAAUUUAGAAAUGAUGAAGUGCCAGUUGCCAAAGAAACUAUUUUGGCUGAUUCCCACGGCACCCAGUCAAUCAUGGAGUCACUUAGCACGCUCCAUAUCCUGGUACUCGAUGCUCGAUAAAGAGAGCUGAUUCCAUACAGUACAUAUGAAUUAUCCUUGACACGUAUAAUUCGCAGCCACUAGCUGCUGAGGUGUAAUCGUUUGCCGCUCGAACGGAGUGCCAAAUGAGGCGACACACCGAUGCACUGCAAGAAAAUUGGUUAGUUUUCGAAAGUAGGAAGCAAAGUGAACAUCCUUUCACAUGAUGAAAUAUGUGAUAUACUCUUGAUGAACAGCUGGUAAAGUAUGAUUAAGGAUAUUGACAGUCAUAUUAAUAAUAAGAAAUAAUUGAAAUAUAACCGAGGAGUUCCCGCAGUGCACGGUAACUCUGGAGCCAGGCGAACAUAGCCAAGGGUCCUUAGUUUGCCAGGACAACACAUACCAGGCCAAUCCGGCGCACUCAUGCUGGUGCUGCGGCUUUAUGGUCAGGUGUCUCAAGAUGCAUGCCCCUUUUGGGGCAACUCCAAUCGGUAGGGCAUUGUAAUGAGCUCAUUGCGCGGAGGUCCUUGCCGUGUACAAAGAACCAACAAAAGGAGAGCGGCAAACAAGGACUCCUGCUGCUGCUGCUGCUAACUACGCGCAUUUUCCGAUCCAUUUAUCACAGAAACAGCCUCCGACGGGCAGGACUCGAAACCAAAAGCGAGAUUUUAAGCGAUAUCCUGCCAGACGAUCGUUGGCAGAGCUCAUUGUGCUCCUGUUCCUGUUCCGUUCUAUGUGUGUGAGUGUGCGUGUGUGAGGGUGUAGUGUGCGCGAGUUAACGGGAAAUCGCAAUAAAUGCGGCAAAUGUGUUGCUUUGUGUGCUGUUAAACGCAUUUUUAUAGAAAUUGCUUUCAUGCCAGCCAUCCAGUAAGCGGGAAAAGCAGCGGGAGCAGCGCCCAUUUGUAUGCCAUGCUUUUUUCCCCUUCCCUGCUCCUUUCAUUUUUUGCACUGAUUGCACUUUAUGCGAAUAUCCUUUGUGUUAGUGUGUGUUUGUGUGUGUGUGCUUGUGUAUGGGGUGCAUAUGCAAGGCAGUUGGUCUUUAGUGCACAUUUCCAUGACAAAAGCACACCAAUUAGCGAGCGUUUAAUGCAAAUGUUUUCGAUUGCCACAUAAUCGCUGGCAUAGAAGGCCUUUUAAUAAGUUAAACGCCCAGGACAAUAUAGACGCCAGGAUAUUGUGUUCGCCAAUGAUUGCUAUGGCCACGUCCUUACAGACUCACCAAAUUAACUGGAGUGCGACAAUUUCUAGCUGUCGUAAAACUUUUAUUAUGCAUACAUAGAGGUAACAGCGCAGAACUGGGCAAAUAACUAAGCUGCCUUACAUAACAGGCAAGGGCAAACACAGACGCACCUCGGGGAGUGACGGACAGGUCCCAAAUGUCUGGUCAAAAUGGGUCAGUGCCACCAUUAGCUCAGGAAACUGGAACACUAGCGGCCCCGAAAGGCGAGAUUAGCCCACACACCAGCACACCCGUACACCUGGCAUGCCCAAGGAUAAUUUUCCAUACCAUAUAUAUGCAUAUAUGUAUGAGGCAGGGAAUGGAUGGAGUUAGAACGAAUCUCCAUUAGCUGGAAGAAGAAUCAUUGGGGUAACAAAAUGUAAUGUUAGUUUAUGUACAUUAUGCUAAGUUUCUACGAAAAAAUUCAAAGACUUCGGAGUUGAUUAGCAAUAUUUAAUAUAUUCACAAGUGCUGGCCAACACUGCGUAUGAGUUAUGAAUGUAAGGCCUUUCCUGUGAUGCUACUAAAAUAUUAAGUAUUUUUGUGAACUUCAAUUACAAAUCAAAUGAAUAUUUAUUAAUUCCAAUUCCCAAAAGUGCCUGCAGCACAAUCAACCAUUUAAUAUACAUCCAAGGCUCACUUAAAUUCGCAACUUCAGCCCGCACAACUGGGUAGCUCAUUAAAUUUUUAAAUUUCAACCAGAUAGCCGGGUAAGAAGCUGAAAUCAUCAACUCUCAAUGAAUUGCAAACGGGGAGACCACAAAGCAAUUUACACAAGCGAACGCAGUGGAGGCCAUAAAUUAAAGGCAAAUGGUGGAAAUGGAGUUUGCGGAUGCGGGGCACACCAUUUUUCACAUUCAAAUUUCCCGCAUCCAAACAAAUCCGGGCUGAAUGCUGGCUUGCUGGUCCAUGAAAGCAGGUCCAAAAAUAUAUAAAAGCAGUUAAGAGAAAGAAGGCCAGCGAAAUAAGAAAAAAAAAAAAAAACAAACCCAACUAACUACAAGGGUUAACAUGAAUGACCGUUUGCCGGC
Non-coding RNA from Drosophila melanogaster (fruit fly), 3575 nucleotides. The record is from Ensembl. Lineage: Eukaryota; Metazoa; Arthropoda; Insecta; Diptera; Drosophilidae.